GUUUUAAGAUCAAAUUUCCAUGAAAAUUGUGAUAUCUAAGGCGUUUUAAAUCAUUUAUACACAAACUUCAUUUAGAAUCGUUUGCCGUCAGUAAUAGUUUAUCGUUGCUUACGGGUAUAAAUUAAAUAACUUUAUUUAUCCUAUCUUCCUAACUGUCCACUUACAACAGUGGCACACUUAUCAGCAGUAUCGGCUCUUUUUUUUUCUGCUAUAUGUAUUUAUGAAAACGUUUAUUUAAUUCAACCGGGAUUUAUUAUUGUACAAUGGCACAAAUAAAAUAUUACGGUAUGGUAUUCGAUGUAAAUAUGUAUAUAAAAUGUUUAAUGAAUAAUUUCUUUCUAAAUUUUUUUUGUUGAAACAUUCAAGUAUUAAUUGACUAGAGAUUUCUAAUCCGAAACAAGAAUUAGUUAACAAUGUCGCAUUAAUAUUAUAAAUCUAUGUAUAUACAUAUAUAUAUGUACAUAUUAACAAUAUAAUAUAAUAACAAUUUCACAUUUUUUUUUUUUUUUUACUAUAAAACACAAGGGAAAAAAUGUAACAUAAUAUUAUAUUUUACUAAUCAUAAUAAUAAUAAAAAAAACAUAAUAUUCCGUAUAACAUAUUAUUGUAUACACAAAUACCGUUUAGACAUUAAUAAUAUACGUAUUAUGUAUUAUAGAUAAAUUAUAUAAAAUUGAACAUUUCCAACAAGAAUAAAAUAACAGAAGACGGUAUUUUGUGGUCUAAUAUUUAAUGAGUUAAACUAUUAAGAAUAAUAAUGUCAUAAACUGUCGAUAAACAUUAAUACGAUACAUUUUUUUUUCUUUUUUUUUUAUGUAACUUGUAAAACACUGUUUUUUUUUUUUUUUUUUAGUAUAGGUAUAUAAAUUAAAACGAAUCCUCUUAAUGAGACAUAAGUUAAGUGUAUAAAGGAAAAACCGUUAUACCGUUUCAUUACACUCGCAGUCAUCACGCAAUACAACCAAGUAUUGGUUAGGUAUACAGAACGAAAAAAUGUUAAAGUAAAACUUUUUUUUUUUGAAUUAUGACUUAAAAUUUUUCUUGGUUUUUUUUUGCGUAGGUACCCAAGUUUCAUAUAUUUAAAUCGGUAUAGGUAUAUAGUUUAAAGGGGAGGGGGUGGGGGCAAAAACAAGAUCGUGAAAAUGUGUACAAAAUUACGUUCAAAGUGUACCGUUAGAAACACAAAGGAAUUGAACGAGAGAAUCGUUGGAACAAAUAAAAUAAAAUAAUAAUAACUCGAUAGAGUUAAUGUGAUAAUGAAAACAAUAUAAGAGAGAAAUUCGGAAAUUCGAGACACCUAGACGUCACAAUGAUAAUGUUUAAUACUCGCGUAUUAUGUUGUCUUCGAGAAGUAAAAAAAUAAAUUUAACCGAUUUAUUUUAUUAUUAUCGUUACAAUAUAAAAUACCGAUCCCGUGUUGUAUACAGUGUAAUGCUACUUCUACUGCAAUUUUAUCGUAGAAAAUGUCGAAAUUGUGUGAUACCUAUACAAUAUGAAUUGAUGGUUUCAAAUGUAUUGGGAAUCCCAGGACACCGCAGUACGCCUUAUUUUCUAUACUGCCUUCUCAUUGGCCCAUUUCGAGUUGUCACGGAUUCCCGCGCGUUUCUGAUUAGUAAAUUUCAAAUAGGCCGCCUUUAAAUGAAUUAUACAGUGUUAUCGGCAUCGUGGUACUUAUAGUGUAACCGUAAAAUACAUUUUCUUUGUCUUGGUGGUUUCGACGUAUAUUAUAACCAGUGAGCACGCAGUAUGCGCACAAGGCUGUAUGAUAAAAUGAUACGGUAUUAUGUUAGAUUAAUGCCGUAUAGUCGUUACAAUAUUUAGCAAAAGAUUCGGCGUUGGCCGCGGUCUAUCAGGAAACGAAUAAUAACUGAUCGAAAUAUUUAAAAGCAACUUGAAUAAUAAAAUAAUUUUACGCGUUACGUUCUGAACGAUCACGUGGUGAAACGAACCUAAAAUAACUAUAGUAAGCUUAUUAUAUCCAGUACCCGGCCACCAAUAAUUUCCAAUAUAUCUCAGUUUAACAUAUUUGUACUAUAAUAUGGUAGUAAACGAGCACUUAUGUUUAGUUAUUUUCAUAUAGAGCGCUCACCCGUAAAUCUUUAAAAAAAAAAAAUCAAAUCCAGAAGCAAACGUUCUUCUCAAAGACCGUAUGCGUCUCGCCACUUAUCCUUGAAAUGUAAGCGGUCGAUAGUUAUUUUUCAAUAUAGUCACUAUUUUGUAUUUUUUUUAACGAAUAGACGAAUUGGAUACGUACAACACGGACUUCAAAUUGUAAUUAGGUUUGAAACGUUAUUUAAUGUGUGUACGUAAUGGUAUAUAUAGUCGACAGUCGUGGCACUCGUAGCCAGUUUGAUAUGAAAUUCAGGUACAGCGGAGUCGUGUCGGAGAAUUCGGUUAACCAACUAAGAAAGCUAAAAAUGAGGAAAAAACCUAGAUGAACAAACAUGACGGAGAAUAUGUGGCGGACGACUUAUUUGUUUUUACUAUUAACCGAAAUGUUGUUAUCGUUGUUUUCUGCGGUCAGGUGACGACGGUUGGUGAUAUUAGUAUUACAUUUAUAACACUCGUUCAAUCGUGAGCCGAGUGAAAUAUUUCAAAGUAAAAAUCGAACGAAAAUUUCAAGUUCUGGAUGUUUUUUUUCCUUGAAACUGUUGUCCUCGGUCCUCGGGCCGGACAAAUGCGGACUACGUUCGCGGUCGUCAUUUUCGGAAAUUAACGUUGUCGUUUAUCGCAGCGAAACUUAUUUUACUGGCGGUUCGCUCUUUCCGCCUGACCUUUAAUUUUUUUCACGUUAAAUCGAAAUCGAAAACGGCGUGCGGCUCGCGCAGCGGCUUGCCCGGGAAUUUUCAACGUGAGCGGAUGUAACGAAUAAGAAUCGCGAAUAAAUCGUAAAAUCGUCUUCUCUACCCGACUCGACUAUACGGGAAUUGGUAACUUGAAAGCCGAUUUCUAAUCAUCGCGUCAAGCUUUUCCUCGGUAACCCGGCUGAAAUAUAUCAGCAUUUCGACAUUAGAUCGCUGGUAUUUUUUUGUAUUUUCAAGUCAACGGGGGUGGGGAGGGGGGAGGUAGGGAGGGGCCUAAUACCCGUUAUUCCGUGUACCGAGACGCGAAACAAAGAUACGAAACGCCCAUAGGCGCGCGUAGAUCUCUUUUUCAAGGUAUGUAGAACGCCGCCACUAGCGUCCCCGCAAGUUAAUUUGAAAUUCGUAAAACUCCGGUACACAAAAUAAUGUGCACGUUUAUUGAAAUGCCUUAACGACCGUUUAAUUAAAAACGCAAUUUUUACUCGAAACUCAAAUGGAAUAUUACAACGCAAAACGCGCGUGUUCGCCAGAUAUUUGAUCGCGCUCAUAUAAUAUGCGGUUUUUCGAUG
This is a non-coding RNA of Cinara cedri, 3373 nucleotides long. NCBI's taxonomy places the organism in Eukaryota, Metazoa, Arthropoda, Insecta, Hemiptera, Aphididae. The record is from the annotation of a GenBank genome assembly.